Molecule: small RNA, 43 nt
Filed under: Plasmodium falciparum 3D7
Lineage: Eukaryota; Apicomplexa; Aconoidasida; Haemosporida; Plasmodiidae
Description: Pfa-starR6364a
Source: RNAcentral
UUAACAUCGCACCUACCACAUUAAAACGAAUAGUUAUGAUAGU